UUAAGAAAUUAAAGUUUAAUUUUACAUUGAAAAUGUAAUGUUUUUUUUGAACUACAUAAAUUAGAAAU
RNAcentral lists this transfer RNA (68 nucleotides) under Helcophorus sp. UPOL A00618. RNAcentral's name for it is "tRNA-Gln". Lineage: Eukaryota; Metazoa; Arthropoda; Insecta; Coleoptera; Lycidae. The record is from RNAcentral.